AGUGAACGCUGGCGGUAGGCCUAACACAUGCAAGUCGAACGGCAGCACAGUAAGAGCUUGCUCUUACGGGUGGCGAGUGGCGGACGGGUGAGGAAUACAUCGGAAUCUACUUUUUCGUGGGGGAUAACGUAGGGAAACUUACGCUAAUACCGCAUACGACCUACGGGUGAAAGCAGGGGAUCUUCGGACCUUGCGCGAUUGAAUGAGCCGAUGUCGGAGUAGCUAGUUGGCGGGGUAAAGGCCCACCAAGGCGACGAUCCGUAGCUGGUCUGAGAGGAUGGUCGGCCACACUGGAACGGAGACACGGACCAGACUCCUACGGGAGGCAGCAGUGGGGAAUAUUGGACAAUGGGCGCAAGCCUGAUCCAGCCAUACCGCGUGGGUGGAAAAGGCCUUCGGGUUGUAAAGACCUUUUGUUGGGAAAGAAAAGCAGCAGGUUAAUACCCAGCUGUUGUGACGGUACCCAAAGAAGAAGCACCGGCUAACUUCGUG
Molecule: ribosomal RNA, 492 nt
Filed under: uncultured bacterium
Lineage: Bacteria
Description: partial 16S ribosomal RNA
Rfam family: Bacterial small subunit ribosomal RNA
Source: RNAcentral